This 496-nucleotide ribosomal RNA is filed under the name uncultured bacterium. Its description in RNAcentral is "partial 16S ribosomal RNA". It matches the Rfam family "Bacterial small subunit ribosomal RNA", at positions 28 to 506 of the family's 1533-position model. The record is from RNAcentral.
GAUGAACGCUGGCGGCGUGCCUAAUACAUGCAAGUCGAGCGAACAGAUGAGGAGCUUGCUCCUCUGACGUUAGCGGCGGACGUGUGAGUAACACGUGUAUAACCUACCUAUAAGACUGGGAUAACUUCGGGAAACCGGAGCUAAUACCGGAUAAUAUAUUGAACCGCAUGGUUCAAUAGUGAAAGACGGUUUUGCUGUCACUUAUAGAUGGAUCCGCGCCGCAUUAUCUAGUUGGUAAGGUAACGGCUUACCAAGGCAACGAUGCGUAGCCGACCUGAGAGGGUGAUCGGCCACACUGGAACUGAGACACGGUCCAGACUCCUACGGGAGGCAGCAGUAGGGAAUCUUCCGCAAAGGGCGAAAGCCUGACGGAGCAACGCAGCGUGAGUGAUGAAGGUCUGCGGAUCGUAAAACUCUGUUAUUAGGGAAGAACAAAUGUGUAAGUAACUAUGCACGUCUUGACGGUACCCAAUCAGAAAGCCACGGCUAACUACGU